This is a long non-coding RNA of Apis laboriosa (Himalayan honeybee), 385 nucleotides long. RefSeq lists it as uncharacterized. The record is from RefSeq and is a predicted model, not a curated record. NCBI's taxonomy places the organism in Eukaryota, Metazoa, Arthropoda, Insecta, Hymenoptera, Apidae. The transcript has 3 exons.
CACUAACGACCAACACUUUUUCACUGUCCGACGAUUGUUGAGAUUUCCGAUCUGGAUUGAAAAGAUCGUAAUCCAGGGCGAGAUUGUUCGAACUGCCAUAGCUUGAUGACGACUGCUUCUAAAAAAUAUACAAUAAUUUGACAUACCUUGAGUACAUCCAAACCUUGAGAAGGCGUUCGACCUCUCCCUGUCUUCGUCGCUCGUGCUCUGUCUGGACUUCCGGCUCGGCUUAAGGUAACCACGACGCCAUUAAUUUCUCCUCGAGACGCUUUCCAUCGCGAUGCUCACCUGUAUAAGUCUGCGUGCUUCUCCUCGCCUGUCUGGCUCUGCUCGUGAUCGCCUACCAACGGCAAGAAAGCGUGAUGCAGCUCUCCCGAUUGCAUGC